This is a long non-coding RNA of Polypterus senegalus (gray bichir), 760 nucleotides long. RefSeq lists it as uncharacterized. The record is from RefSeq and is a predicted model, not a curated record. Lineage: Eukaryota; Metazoa; Chordata; Cladistia; Polypteriformes; Polypteridae. The transcript has 4 exons.
ACGAGAAAACUGCCUUUAUUUAUUUUAUUUGAACCGGACGUUUUUGUAGGUCAACAACCUGGUCAGGUAAUGCGCCACUUGUAGCAAACACGGGUCACUGGUGUGUAGACUGGACCAUCAUCAUGACGUUGGAACAGUACUCAGACGUGAUUUUAGAGAUAGCAAAACAAGGCCUGUCAUCGAAAAUUAUAUCUGAGUGUCUGUCAUAUCAACACGGAGAAGCGAGGGGGUUUUCUGCGAGAAAUGUCAGAAAGUUUUCUGCUGAGCAAAUCUCAGGCUGUCGACUCUCUGACACACAUUUGGAAACAGAGGUGGCAAAAGCUAUAAAUGAGGGAGCUCGGAAUCUUAAUCCCACACCAUACCAUGCUGAAUACAUCAUGGGGCACAAGCUUCACCUGGACCAAAAUGAAAAACUUGUGAUGUUUGGGGUCACCCAUGUUUUAGCUAUAGAUGGGUUCAGCAAAAAGAUUGUGAGUCACUCCACAAUGCCUGAUCAAAAACAACUUGACCAUCUAUGAAGAUGUUUUCAGGCCUGCAGUGAUUACCUGUGGUAUGUGGGACCAGGUGUGAGUGGACCAAGGAAAGGAAUUUUAUUUGACACUUUUCAUGCAGGAGAUGCUGUCACAUCGCUUCAAUCAGGAGAGACCACCAUAUUUACAGACUUCAUCCACAAGAAACCACACAUAUCAGGCUUUGGCCUGAGAUCAACAACCGUGUCAACUAUCCACUGAAAAUGGCCCUACUCCAGCUGAUGGACCAG